GAGGGUAUAGCUCAGUGAUAGAGUGUAUGCCUAGCAUGCACAAGGUCCCAGGUUCAAUCCCCAGUACCUCA
Molecule: transfer RNA, 71 nt
Filed under: Camelus bactrianus (Bactrian camel)
Lineage: Eukaryota; Metazoa; Chordata; Mammalia; Artiodactyla; Camelidae
Also listed under: 2 other names
Rfam family: tRNA
About the family: Transfer RNA (tRNA) molecules are approximately 80 nucleotides in length. Their secondary structure includes four short double-helical elements and three loops (D, anti-codon, and T loops).
Source: Rfam by way of RNAcentral